CAGUUCCCAGACCCUCCCCCGCGCUGUGUGCCUGGCGUCCUCGGACCCAGCCAUGUCGUGGGCACCUGGGGCACCAGCUGACCUGCCUGUCGGGGGAGGCAGGUCUGAGCCCCAGGUGGUCCCGGUGGGCUGUUGCCUGCCAUGGAGAAGGGGCUGGGGCUUGCACUCAGCCACUCACCGGGGCCAUGCACGUCUCCUGCCCUUUCUCCACACCUGCGUCCCCUACAGACUCCUGCUGCCGUGUAAUGGACAGUGGGACCCUCUGGUGAGGUGUCCCCCUCCUGCUUCGGGCUGCGGCCACCAUGUCUCAGGUUUCCUGGAUGAACUCAUUAAAAUGAAGCAUAGAGCA
This is a long non-coding RNA of Homo sapiens (human), 349 nucleotides long. Lineage: Eukaryota; Metazoa; Chordata; Mammalia; Primates; Hominidae. The record is from Ensembl.